AAAAACUAAACAUAAUUUUUUUUUUCAUUCCAAUCACAACCAAACACAAAAUAUAUAAAUGAGUCAUUCUAUUCUCACUUUCAUUAUUCAGAUCCAAACGUAACCUAGCAUUAGUUAUUAUUUUUCAUCCCUUCCUUUCUCAAUAGCUUCGUUAUUUUUGACCCGACUUUAUCUUAUUCGAUCGAUCGAUUCAAUCGCGCUUCGUUCGCCGUCCAUCACAGGUACAUGCCCCUCUUCUCUCCACUCUUUUAUCUCCUCUAUCUCCUACAUCUAUUCUCUGAAAUUGAUUUUUCUGUUGUUCUCUUUCAGUUCGGUAAGACAUCUGAUCUCAGUUUAUUCAUUUAUAAUUUCUUUACUUUGUUCAUCCAUUUGUGCUUAAUCAAAUCUGAUUUUGGUGCUCAAUCAAAUCUGAUUUUGGUGCUCAAUGCGCACCACAUCUUUGAUGUAUUGACGCUAUGAAGAUUACAACAAACCCUGUUUAUAUUGUUGGGGGCUUUUCACUUGCAUUCAUGUAGAUAGCAGUUCUAUUUUACAUUGGUGUCAAGCAUUUUAUCUCCAUUAUAGCAAUAUUGCAAAUUGUUUCAUGGAUCGGUGUUAUUAGGCAUUACUAGCUGCUUUCUCUUAUUGUUCAAAAUCUUUCCAUUUUAUCAUCUCUUACCAGCAUUGAUGAAUUAUAAAGCCUUUCCUAUUCCAAAUUUUAAGCUGACUUCACAUUCUGGUUUUGAUGCUGAGCUGUGUACAUCUAAUACAAUUAGUAGGCUGGCAGUAUUGUAGGCAAUUGCUAUGGCGGUCUUGGUGCUGUUGGUUGUUUGUUUACAUGACAAGGUUGUGCUUGAAAGAAUCAAGAUUACGGAAUUUCUGUAAUGUUUUUCUUUCAUUAUUCUUAUUAUGUCGAACACUAGUUGGCAGGAGUAAAAUACAGUUUAGACUUUAGAAGAUGCUGUAAAACGAGUGUAUCUGUGUGCUGUUUUAGCUCAUCCAUGCAAUACAUUAUAUCACAAAUAAUAUAGUAUUAUAUCCAGUUACUUAUAUUUUUUUUUAAGNNNNNNNNNNNNNNNNNNNNNNNNNNNNNNNNNNNNNNNNNNNNNNNNNNNNNNNNNNNNNNNNNNNNNNNNNNNNNNNNNNNNNNNNNNNNNNNNNNNNAACUCAAUUGAAAUGACUUUUAAAAUGCCUCGUAUGCUGGUUUUAUGCAAUUGAAUUGACUUUUAAAAUGCUUUAUAUGCUGGUUUUAUGUAUCUUUUUUAAGACGCCAUAGAUGUCCAUUAGUUAUUUUGUCGAUCAAAUGCAGUAAUGGCUCGAUUUAAUUUAGCUACAAGGAAAAAUAUCACAAAGGAGGAUUGUUAUACUAUUUACAAUGUGGUUGCACAUGAUUACAUUGGUGAAUUGAUUUUUUCAAAUUAUGGGUUUGAUUAGGCGGAAAGUUUUAAGGCAACAAUAUUCCAUUUAUAAGUUGCGGAGGACACGGAGGAUACGUUACAUUGAUGGGUUAGUCAAUGGAGGUGAUAAUAAUUGUAUUGAACUACUUUGGAUGAAUGACUACCUUUCACAAAAGAAGUAGAAGUAUGGAUUCAAUUGCGGAGGCUGUUUAUGACUUCAAGACUCAACUUCAUGAAACUACCAAAAUGUUUAGUCAAAUAAUUUGUGAGGACAAUCUGAUGGAGCAAAAAAAGAAACUCAAUGAGGAGCUCUUCAAAGGUAUCAAACUGCGAAGAAGAUGAUCGAUAAUAAGAACCUCAUGAUAUUGUUUUUUGUUGUACCAGAGGAUGAAAAAGAUGAUUUUGUGCAAGUUUUAUUUCGUGGAGACAUUUGAAAAUAUAGUGAAUUUAAACUUUUAGGCCUAUUAUAUGAUUAUAUGAAUGGUAAUAAUUACUUGCCUCAUAGGACGAAUAUGUCAUGGUAUUAUAUAAAAUUUAUUGUUAUGUGAAUACUUCAAAAACUAUUGUUUCAAAAGUGUGUGGUGUUUGAUUCAAAAUUAUAUAUAUCUCUUAGCUUGAAUAAUUGUAUGGAGGUGU
RNAcentral lists this long non-coding RNA (2012 nucleotides) under Panax ginseng (ginseng). Its description in RNAcentral is "long non-coding RNA (PGIN_LNC006417)". Lineage: Eukaryota; Viridiplantae; Streptophyta; Magnoliopsida; Apiales; Araliaceae. The record is from RNAcentral.